UGGGGGAAUAUUGGACAAUGGAGGCAACUCUGAUCCAGCCAUGCCGCGUGAAGGACUAAGGCCCUAUGGGCUGUAAACUUCUUUAGACGCAGAGCAAUAAGGGCCACGUGUGGUCCGAUGAGAGUAUGCGUAGAAUAAGCAUCGGCUAACUCCGUGCCAGCAGCCGCGGUAAUACGGGGGAUGCGAGCGUUAUCCGGAUUCAUUGGGUUUAAAGGGUGCGUAGGCGGCUUUGCAAGUCAGCGGUGAAAGGCCCGGGCUCAACCCGGAAAGUGCCGUUGAUACUGUGAGGCUGGAAUGCGGAUGCUGUGGGAGGAAUGAGUGGUGUAGCGGUGAAAUGCAUAGAUAUCACUCAGAACACCGAUUGCGAAGGCAUCUCACAAAUCCGCAA
This 388-nucleotide ribosomal RNA is filed under the name uncultured bacterium. Its description in RNAcentral is "bacterial SSU rRNA". It matches the Rfam family "Bacterial small subunit ribosomal RNA", at positions 354 to 739 of the family's 1533-position model. The record is from RNAcentral.